Molecule: long non-coding RNA, 388 nt
Filed under: Rhinopithecus roxellana (golden snub-nosed monkey)
Lineage: Eukaryota; Metazoa; Chordata; Mammalia; Primates; Cercopithecidae
Description: lncRNA (ENSRROG00000046081.1)
Source: RNAcentral
CAGCCCCAGGCAGAGCCCUCACCACGCCAGCCCUGCCGACGCCUUGAUCUUGGACUCCCAGGCAUCUGCUGCAUAAACCACCCUGUCCGAUGUAUUUUCCUAUGGCAGCUUGAGCAGAAUGAGGCUGGCGCUUUGGAAGAAGGAACUUCACAUGACCUCUAAUGACUACUGAGUUCUUACGAGGAGUGCCUCGUGCUUUGCAGCAUCUAACGUCUCGAUAGUGACCUGCUAGUGCCCGGCCAGCCUGUCAGCAGAUCACGGUCACAAACCCUGGGAGAGCUGACGACAUGUUUCCCGUGUGAGACUCUGUGUCUCCCGAGAAGCAGACACCAAGACAGGAUGAGAGACGGAUUUUAUUGGGAAAAACACCUGCAGGAGAAAACAGGUG